Molecule: ribosomal RNA, 381 nt
Filed under: uncultured eukaryote
Lineage: Eukaryota
Description: SSU rRNA
Rfam family: Eukaryotic small subunit ribosomal RNA
Source: RNAcentral
AGCUCCAAUAGCGUAUACUAAAGUUGUUGCAGUUAAAAAGCUCGUAGUUGGAUUUCUGUGCACCGUUGAUUGUGCUUCUCUAUGAGGAGCGUCAUUCAUCGUUGUACAUCCUGUUGGCAGACACGUGCUGGCAUUUAUUUGUCGGUGCGGGGAGACCACUCGUUUACUUUGAGAAAAUUAAAGUGUUCAAAGCAGGCUUAUCGCUUGAAUACAUUAGCAUGGAAUAAUAGUAUAGGACUUUGAUCUUAUUUGUUGGUUUCGAAGAUCAAAGUAAUGAUUGAUAGGGACAGUUGGGGGCAUCAGUAUUCUGAAGCGAGAGGUGAAAUUCUUGGACCUUCGGAAGACUAACAACUGCGAAAGCAUUUGCCAAGGAUGUUCUCU